Long non-coding RNA from Ailuropoda melanoleuca (giant panda), 1519 nucleotides. RefSeq lists it as uncharacterized. NCBI's taxonomy places the organism in Eukaryota, Metazoa, Chordata, Mammalia, Carnivora, Ursidae. The record is from RefSeq and is a predicted model, not a curated record. The transcript is spliced from 3 exons.
GGAAUCUGCUGGGGAAUGGGCUUGGCGUGACUUCCAGAACUUACUGAGAUUGUGGUGGUCAGCACAUCCUCAAUCAUCCUGUUUCACAAGAAGACACAAAAGCUACUUUGCAUAAAGGAAGACUUGUUGCUUUCUGUUUUGGAGAGCACAGCAUGGGAGCACAAGACAACUGACUGAGAAGCACUCUGGGGCAGGGCCACCUGCUUCUGAAGCAUCUUUACACUGCUAAGGCCUCACUCACCGUCUGUGACAUGAUCUAUGCUCGCAGGAUGGAUGCCUGUUACCAAGUGAAUGAAGAUCCUGAGUGCUGAAACAUUUCUGAACUUCCCAGGCACCUGUGAGCCAUGCUGGCAUGAAGCAUUAAUGGGUCUCAUUUCCCUUCUGGUGGGUGCACCUGAGGGAACCCUGCAUGGCAGCUGGUUGCAGAAGAAGCCAAAAACAGAAGCUGACAGCAAAUCAUAAAGCCCCUGGGAUUGUGUCCUAUUUAAAUAGAUCACCUUGUUUCCAAACAUUCAUUUAUUUCCCUUUUGAUUCUUUCUUCUCCGUUUGCAAGCCUGCAUAUCCAGUUUCACAGUUUUCUAGCAUUUACCAUGUGUUGGGCACUGUGCUAGCCACCUUUGGCACUGCAUCCUCUAAUAAGCAAAGCUGCCUAUAAGCCAUUCUACCCCGCUUUUUGAUGUUGUAUGGCCUCCAUCCGCCCCAUUGGCUGCCAGCUCAGAAUUCACCUCCUGGCCUUGCUCACUGUGUUGCCCCCUGCACCUUUCCUAGCCUCCUAGGGACCUGAGGGCUCUUACUCAAACCCACCUCACCUGGCACAUCGAAACAUAGCAGCGGCAGCAAGUCCUGCGGUGAGCGAGGGAGGCUGGGCCAGGGGGGUGACUGACCUUUUCUCAUCUCUGCACUCGGGUCCCAUACCUGCCAACUGUCUUAAUUGGCAAGGUUGGGUAUGUUUCUAUAUUUUUAUUAACUAGUUAAGCCCCCCCUUAUAUGCAUUUUCUGUUCACGUUCUUUGUCUACUUAUCUAUUGAGGUCUUGAAUUUUAAAAAAUCAAUUUAUAUGAAUUCUUUAUGUAGCAGAGAUAUUAAAACAUUUCUGCAAUGUUUGCUGCAAAAUUCUUUCUCUGUCCAAUAUUUGUUUCCUUGGCUUUUCCUAUAAAGAAGAUAUGUCUUCCGAGUGUAAAGUUUGCACCCAUAAAUAAGAAGGGCCAUAUUUAAAUGUGUGUACCUUUCUCUUAUCUUUACAUAGCCUAUAAUAUGUUUUCUCAGGCAGUUUAAGUCUCACUCUGGAAUGCUCAGAUUGGCAGCCAAGGAUGUGUUCAGGAGGAGGGAGAAAUUGGAUCCCUCUGUGACAGGAAUGGCUAAUGACAUUUUCUCCCUGAUGAGGCUCUGUGGUCCACUCUUCAUCUAUACAUUCUAAAAUAUUUAUUGAGCAUCUACUCUAUGCCAGGCACCACUGCCUGGGACAUUUCGGGCCCUGGUUUAAUGGUCACUGAGAUUUAAUUGAGUUUUGAUGAGAUGGA